CCAUCUUAAACGGAGGAAGAAUGCGCCAAUGGUUCGUUGUCGUGAUGGACAACCUGCUGAUUCUGCUGGCUAUCGAGAGGCAUGUAUUGUGACAUGAUAGCCAUUAUCUCUGAGUCCAUGUAAGACUGCAUGAAAAACCAGAAUAUGUAACCAGCUAUUCCAACGCUCAUCACUACGGCAAGCACCACAACGGUUGAAGCAGGUAAAAGUAUCGAAGAGGAAAGUACCUUGACACGUUUUACCAUCUCCGGAGAAGCCAGCCGGACAAUGGCAGCCCGACAGAUCAUUGUCCUUGCACGCUGAGAACUUGACUCCAUUCUUGUGUUCCGACCAGCAGCCUCCGUUGUUGACUGAGCACCUCCCCGGCCCAACAGCUGCAGACGGAUCAAGAUUCAGAUUCACGCAGAUCUCAACUAGUCUGAAGGCUGUUACAUUAGAUUCAUUGUCGCGCCAACACCCUCCGUUAUUCUCAAGGCACUGGCAAAUCGGAGGCUCUGUCGUCUCCUUAAACCCUGCACAUACGGCUUUCAGCACGGCGUUCCUCUCCAACUUCCCUUCACCGACCAAAGCAAUCUCAUUCAGAUAUACAAAACAUACCUCAAAUCACACAUACAUAAGGACUUCGUUCUCAGUAUCAGCUUCUGGAUCACCCAUGCACUUGUUUAUCUUCUCAACCGAUAUACCUACACCAAGAUCAAUCCCGGAAACUGAUGUCCUCGGAUUAUGUUGAUCGGGACAUAAAUGGAAAGGAAUUUUCCU
Molecule: long non-coding RNA, 759 nt
Organism: Salvia splendens (bonfire salvia)
Lineage: Eukaryota; Viridiplantae; Streptophyta; Magnoliopsida; Lamiales; Lamiaceae
Exons: 6
Source: RefSeq, a predicted model, not a curated record